GCAUGGGUCAGACGAUCAGGCAUAAACUAGGCUAGGCAUCGAGGUGUUGAGUAUCGAGGUCAAUGGAGUACACAAAGUCAAAGCCAGAAUAUCAUCACUUAGAAAGGUUUUGUAUGGAAAGGCUAUAGUAACUGAACAUAUACUUUGCAAAGACAUUGUGUUCAAUGUUUUAUGUGUGGUGUGACUGCGAGUGUAAAGUGACAUGACACCAGGACCCAAACCAGAGCCAUAGAUGUGUACGUGACACAGUUGAGGAGUAUUGCACCUACACAGACACAAAACCAGUACCUGGAUUGGUUUGAGCCUGAUAUUUAUCUUCCUGGUUUGGUAUGCAAAGCCACUGCAGGGUGUCACGUACAGCGGUAGCGAUGGCUACACAUGCAAGCUCGUAUAGCAUCAUGAGGGCACAGAGUCAUGCCUCAAUUCUUCAUGGCAUGGAUUCCACAAGAUGUUGGAAACUUCUAUUGGAUUCAGAUACGGUGGAUUCUAUUGGUCUAUUGGAUUCACAUCUAUUGGAUUCAGAUCAGGUGACUGGGAAGGCCACUGAAGAACAUUGUUAUGUUCAUGAAAUUAUGGACAACUUUUGCUUUGUAAGAUGGUGCAUUAUCAUGUUUGAUGUAGCCAUUCAAAAAUGGGUAAACUGUGGCCAUGAAGGGAUGCACAUGGUCAGCAACAAUACUCAAAUAGACUGUGACAUUCAAGCGAUUAUUGAUUGGUAUUAACGGGCACAAAGUGUGCCAAGAAAACAUUCCCCACACCAUUACACCACCUCCACCAACCUGCGCUGUUUAUACAAGGUAGGUUGGGUCCAUGGAUUCAUGCUGUUGGUGCCAAAUUAAGACCCUACUAUCUGUCUGCCUCAGCAGAAAUACAGAUUCAUCAGACCAGGCUACAUUUUUCCAGUCGUCAAAUGUCUAGUUUUGGUGAGCCUGUUCCCACUACAGACUUCAGCUUUCUUGACAGACAGAAGUGGAACCCGACGUGGUCUUCUGCUGUUGCAGCCCUUCUGUCUGAAGGUUUGAAGUGGUGUGCGUUCUAAGAUGUUUUUCUGUACAGAGUGGUUAUCUGCGUUACUGUCGUCUUUCUGUAAGUUUGAACCAGUCUGGCAAAUCUCCUCUGACCUCUCUCAUCAACAAGGCCUUUACGGCCGAAGAACUGCUGCUCACUAGUUGCCCAAGGAAUGCCAAAAAUGCAAAUGCGUGCAUUAUCCACAUAUCUGCAAUUCCCUACUAUGUGAAACCAAGAGGCUUGAUUUUGUGUUGCAAGGAUCAUGAAUGUGAAUCAUUUCUAACAGCCGGUUGGAAGGUUGGAGGCAUGUUCCCAAAGAUCAUCUUCAGCCUCAACUCCAAAGAUUGUGUUGUUGUGAAUAAGAAGUAAGUACCAAAUGCAAAACAUGAGGCAAUGCUUACCAAUGGAGGCUUAACAACCUCCAUUUGAGGCUACACAAAGAAUUGUAAGUUUAGUCUUAUAAUACAAGAAUAGCUACUACUAGACGGAAGUGAGGAGGAUUACACUGGAAAUUGUCACGUUUCGUGACGUGAGGAAGUUCAGGACGGAUGCAAGCGCAGGAUGAACAGGUUUUAUUUAAGAGAGAGACAGGCAGACAAAUCCAAAACGUGAUCCACAAACGUAAUCCAGUAACCUGCAAAGUUCAGGCGAUCGGCAAACAGGCAUACACAGGGCUAGGCAGGAAUCAAGGUCGUGGUCACAGAAAAUAGGGUCGAGAUACAAAAUAUAAAACAUAAGCUACAGCGAGGGACUAGUAGCAGAGAAACCAGCAUGAACUAAACUAACGAACCAGACUAAGACUAAGACUAAGACUAAGACUAAGACUCAAAACAUGACACUAUGAACUGUGCCUGUGGUUCUCUAUCGUAAGGACGCUAAACUAAUCUACUAUCUAACUCAAUAUUCCAUGUUGUGUGCUGGGAGGCGCGCGGUAUAUAUGCGGACAUAAUCAGCGUUGUAAUUGCUGACGGGCAAUGAGGGCAAUUCAGACACACAUGAAACAACAACCAAUGACAGAACGGGGAGGAGACAUAACAGAAACAUAAACAAAUGCACGUGUCGAAAUGUCACGAUUGUCAACAAGGGAAAAGCGUUGACACGCGCGCUCGCUCACAUGCUCCACAGUGCGCUGCUUAAAGGGGAACUCGUGACAGAAAUGAUCAAGUAUAGAGCUACUGAUUCUGAGUAGAGCCCUGGCUGAGUGCUACAACCUGGACACUAUUAAUAACUGUUAUAGCUAAUAUAGUCCCAGUACCUCAGAAAUACGUAGUGACAUGCCAUAAAGACUACCACCCAGUAGCACCUACCCUGAUCAUAGUGAAAUGUUUUGAAAAAGUAGUCAUCUAAUAUAUCAAAGGCCCUGCUUAUCUGUUUAACCCCCAUAAGCUUGUUAUUUACUGAGUUCAGUCUGACAUUCAAUAUGAUCCUAUCAUACCAUUAAACAUGUCACUAAGUUUAAUGACCUGGAAUUUAAUUCAAGCUUAAUUUACUGGGGCCCUGCAGAGCUGUUUGGACACAUCAGUACCAUACUCAGCUCUUGGUGCUUUCUCUGUCAGUCAAGAUUGGUGACUAAAUUGGAUCACCUCAGGUGCUUUUUAUGCUCAGUCCCAUAUUUAUCUAUGACUGCACCCUUAGUCAUGAGAGUAACACAAUUAUUAGGAUUGCAGAUGACAGUACUCUUAUGCCAAUGAUUAGAGGUUGUGAUGAAUCAUCCUACAGGGAGAAGGUCAAGAAACAUCACUGUGCUCAGGCAAUAGCUGCAUCAACAAUGUCAAGAAAAUGUCAAGACCAAACUAGUUGUCAUGGACAAACGGGUCAGCUCUUUUAGAUAAACAUUGAGAGCAAAGGUUUUUUUUGCGUGAAAAUAAUUUCCAUCACUAGACAGAACACAUCCCAUCAAGGUGAACAUUUAAAUUCCACAAAACAGAGGAAAUAAUCAGGAUGUUUCACAUCUUUAUUUUUGCAAGUCAAAAAAAAAACCAGGGAAAGCCUGUUUUAAGUAUCUUACUCUCAUGAAUUUCUAAGAUCUAGUCUUGUGCUAUAAAAGUGAGCAUGGCCGUUCUACUAGAUUCCACUAGUUCCUUGACUCAUUCAGUAAAGCUGAAUAUAUCUGCUUUUAGCUACUCAGUCCUGUAUUGUAUUGUAUAACAGUAUAAAUUAGUCACAAAGUUGUUGUUUUUUAAAAUCACAUUUACUUUUAUUGAAUGUCUUGCAACUGAACAUGUUGCGUUGUGAUACUAGUAUCUAUAUCUACAUAAAGAGCACCUCUAUUUUAUGUAAGAAUCUUUGGUCAUAAUCAUUCUAUCAAGAAGUUCUAUUCACACUCCCGGUCUGUAGUCUUCUUCUGAUGUUGUGAUAAGCACGGAUGAUUUUAACAACCUCUUUACAUAUAAAUUCAGGUGUUUCAGGUCUUGAGUAUCUAAAUGAGAUGAGUCACAGCAUAGUGCGUGUUUGUUUUGUGCUGAAGCGUGAGGCCUGGAGCAGCUGCCAGGCUUGGAAAUUGUCUUUGCCUUCAGGAUAGUGUGUAAUCUGCAGGCUUUGACCUGAACAAAGCAGGGCCAUGGCUGGCUGCAUGAAUGAUAUUGCCUCAUCUCAUCUAUUGGCUGUUGGUUUAGCCCCCAAAAGCAGAGUCUCCCUGUCCUUUAGCUGUGUAGGAGUGUUUGUGUGUCUACGUGCAAAAUAUUUCCAAAUGGAGAGCUUCCAGCAUGUGGGCUUGGAACAAUGCAGAGUUCUUGAAGAGAGAAGGAUGUUGAAGAAACUGCACGUAGCCAUCAUAGAGGCGCCAUGGGAGCUCCCUCCCCCCUCCAUGUGAGCUAUGUUGUCCUUAUCUCACCUUUACAUGAGAUAAAGUUAAACAAUUCAGUAGUUCUUUCUAUAAAUAGCUGCUAUAACAUUACUGUAAAUGUGAGUCUCUUUUAUGGGAAAAUACAUGAAAGGGUGCAUGUUAAAUGACAAAUGUGACACUGAAUUUGCAGUCAUACAUGAGAUACACUUUGUUAAAACAUUUUAGCAUCAUUUUAACAUAAUCAUUAAACAUUGUGGGAGUGGUAAUUUACCUCAAAUUCCAAUGUCCUUUUGUAUGAAUUAUAAAGUAAUUUAGAACACUUAAAACAAUUAGAUUAAAUUUGAGCAGUUACUCAUGUGAUCUUCUGAAGCUUCUAUACGGUAUACUGAAGCUCCUCUGUACUGUAGGGGAAAUAACUACAGUGACUAGAUUAUUGCAAUGAUAAGAGCACACUGUGCAUGCUGUAACAGAUGGAUGGUAAGGAUGCAAUGAGUUGUUGCUUUUUUUUGCUUCAGUGUUUUUUCUUUCCCUCUGUGUCUUUUGAAGUGGAGUUGUGAAUAUGUAACUUACACUUCUGUGCAUGACUGUAAGCUUGGCUUUUUUGUUCUGUUUUUGAGUAUGGAUAUUUCUUGAAUAAUUACAUUUGUGAAGACAUUUACUAUAUUUAACUAAAUAUAUAAGAUUUUUACACCUUUUGCCUUACUAUGCUUAUUUAACAUUGUGUUACUUUGUGUUCAUUUAUAAACUGUGCAGUGAACUACAACUGAGGGGGCACAGAGGCUUAGGUGUGGGCAGUGGUGGCUCAAUGGUUAAGGCUCUGGGUUAAUGGUCAGAAGGUCAGGAGCUCAAGCCCCAGCACAACUGAGCUGCCACUGUUGGGCCCCUGAAAAAGUCCCACAACCCUCCCUGCUCCAGGUGUGCUGAAUCAUGACUGACCCUGCCCUCCAACCCCAGCCCCACAACAAGCUGGGAUAUGUGAAAAAAUAAUUUUACUGUGCUGUAAUGUAUAUGUGACAAAUAAAGGCCUCUUAUUCUUCUUCAUUUGUUCCUCUAGGUUUGGGGGUUCAAAUUCUGCCUCCACAGUGUACGUGGAGUUUGCAUGUUUUCCCUGUGCUACAUGCAUUGUAGGUUGAUUGGCAUUUCCAAAUUGUUCAUAGUGUGUGUGCGAUUGUGCCCUGCGAUGGGUUGGCACCCAAUCCAGGGUGUCCCCUACCUUGUGCCUCAGUUCCCUGUUAUAAGCUCCAGGCUCCCCUACAACCCUCUGUAGCAUAAGGGUAUGGAAAAUAGAUGGAUGACUGGAACUAGUGGCAAAGAGUGAACUUAACUACAGACUGCCCAACUACAGGCUGUAUUUUUUUUUUUUUUACUAUAAAUAACUUUUCAUAUAAAAAUCAUUGUCCCAAAUGAUGAUGAUAUUUUAAAAAGUUUUUAAGUUUUAUGACUACAAUUAAAGUGUGUUAAAUAAGUCCUG
This is a long non-coding RNA of Ictalurus punctatus (channel catfish), 5264 nucleotides long. The record is from Ensembl. Lineage: Eukaryota; Metazoa; Chordata; Actinopteri; Siluriformes; Ictaluridae.